AAGCUUUUGUGGUUCUUAAGUGUGAUUAUUAGAUUUUCAUGCCACUGUGUGAGCUGUGCCUACCUCAAACCUUUUUACAAUGUCAGCAUAUGACCUAUCCGAUG
Molecule: non-coding RNA, 104 nt
Organism: Fukomys damarensis (Damara mole-rat)
Lineage: Eukaryota; Metazoa; Chordata; Mammalia; Rodentia; Bathyergidae
Source: Rfam